RNAcentral lists this ribosomal RNA (274 nucleotides) under uncultured bacterium. RNAcentral describes it as "partial 16S ribosomal RNA". It matches the Rfam family "Bacterial small subunit ribosomal RNA", at positions 523 to 796 of the family's 1533-position model. The record is from RNAcentral.
AUACGGAGGGUGCGAGCGUUAAUCGGAAUUACUGGGCGUAAAGCGCGCGUAGGCGGUUUGGUCAGUCAGAUGUGAAAGCCAUGGGCUCAACCUGGGAACUGCAUUUGAUACUGCCAGGCUAGAGUAUGGUAGAGGGAAGUGGAAUUCCGGGUGUAGCGGUGAAAUGCGUAGAUAUCCGGAGGAACACCAGUGGCGAAGGCGACUUCCUGGACCAAUACUGACGCUGAGGUGCGAAAGCGUGGGUAGCAAACAGGAUUAGAUACCCUAGUAGUCC